Molecule: ribosomal RNA, 886 nt
Filed under: Haliotrema sp. ZL-2019
Lineage: Eukaryota; Metazoa; Platyhelminthes; Monogenea; Dactylogyridea; Ancyrocephalidae
Description: partial large subunit ribosomal RNA
Rfam family: Eukaryotic large subunit ribosomal RNA
Source: RNAcentral
AAUAUAGCAUAUCAGUAAGCGGAGGAAAAGAAACUAACCAGGAUUCUUCUAGUAACGGCGAGUGAACGAAGAUUAGCCCAUCACCGAAGUCUAUCCGCUUUUGUGGACAGGACAAUGUGGUGUUAAGGCGCGCGCCUUGGUUCCGUUGACCUGCUCAAAGUCCAAUUAUGAUUGUGGCUUUGUAUAUUGCCAUAGAGGGUGAAAGCCCCGUUUGGGCAGGAUUGGAUAUUUCAACGGUGCCUCGAUGCGUGUGCUGUCGAGUCGGAUUGCUUGAGAAUGCAGUCCAAAGUGGGUGGUAAACUCCAUCCAAGGCUAAAUACUGGCACGAGUCCGAUAGUAGACAAGUACCGUGAGGGAAAGUUGAAAAGUACUCUGAAGAGAGAGUAAAUAGUACGUGAAACCGCUUGCAGAGAAUCAGGUGGAGUCAAGCUACAUGCUUGGAGGUUUGGUGUGCGGCCUUUUUUUAGUGAUCGGAUAUGGAGUGGCAUAGCUUGGAACAGGUUUGGUGCAUCCGUGCGCUUCAAGUCAUUCUGGGCAGUGUGAUUGAAUGUUGCUCCUAGCUCCGGGGUCGUAUGCGGAAUCUUCCACUGGCAUGAACCACGGUUCAUAGUGGGUGUGCAUCGUGAUAGUCUAACAGUGCUUUGGUCGAUAUCUAUUGGCUGGGCGCUGAAGGGAAGGUGGUAUCCCCAGGGUUUCGGCCCCGCUUCGGCGUGGAUACUUAUAAUACGGUCUCGACCGUCUGGCUAUCAUGAGCGUGACGCAUCCCCGCUAUGUGAAAGAGAACUAAAGCUGUCGAGCGCGCCAUCUACGGAUCGUGCGCCUGUCAAUGACCGUGGUGUUGUGGUAGACGUUCCACCUGACCCGUCUUGAAAAACCGGGACAAAAA